CCUACGGGAGGCAGCAGUGAGGAAUAUUGGUCAAUGGACGAGAGUCUGAACCAGCCAAGUAGCGUGAAGGAUGACUGCCCUAUGGGUUGUAAACUUCUUUUAUAUGGGAAUAAAACGUUCCACGUGUGGGAUUUUGUAUGUACUAUAUGAAUAAGGAUCGGCUAACUCCGUGCCAGCAGCCGCGGUAAUACGGAGGAUCCGAGCGUUAUCCGGAUUUAUUGGGUUUAAAGGGAGCGUAGGUGGAUUGUUAAGUCAGUUGUGAAAGUUUGCGGCUCAACCGUAAAAUUGCAGUUGAGACUGGCAGUCUUGAGUACAGUAGAGGUGGGCGGAAUUCGUGGUGUAGCGGUGAAAUGCUUAGAUAUCACGAAGAACUCCGAUUGCGAAGGCAGUUCACUGGACUGCAACUGACACUGAGGCUCGAAAGUGUGGGUAUCAAACAGGAUUAGAUACCCCGGUAGUC
Molecule: ribosomal RNA, 460 nt
Filed under: uncultured bacterium
Lineage: Bacteria
Description: partial 16S ribosomal RNA
Rfam family: Bacterial small subunit ribosomal RNA
Source: RNAcentral